This 510-nucleotide ribosomal RNA is filed under the name uncultured bacterium. RNAcentral's name for it is "partial 16S ribosomal RNA". It matches the Rfam family "Bacterial small subunit ribosomal RNA", at positions 28 to 507 of the family's 1533-position model. The record is from RNAcentral.
GACGAACGCUGGCGGCGUGCUUAACACAUGCAAGUCGAACGAAGAGCGAUGGAAGCUUGCUUCUAUCAAUCUUAGUGGCGAACGGGUGUGUAACGCGUAAUCAACCUGCCCUUCAGAGGGGGACAACAGUUGGAAACGACUGCUAAUACCGCAUACGAUCUAAUCUCGGCAUCGAGGAUAGAUGAAAGGUGGCCUCUACAUGUAAGCUAUCACUGAAGGAGGGGAUUGCGUCUGAUUAGCUAGUUGGAGGGGUAACGGCCCACCAAGGCGAUGAUCAGUAGCCGGUCUGAGAGGAUGAACGGCCACAUUGGGACUGAGACACGGCCCAGACUCCUACGGGAGGCAGCAGUGGGAAAUCUUCCGCAAUGGACGAAAGUCUGACGGAGCAACGCCGCGUGAGUGAUGACGGCCUUCGGGUUGUAAAGCUCUGUUAAUCGGGACGAAAGGCCUUCUUGCGAACAGUUAGAAGGAUUGACGGUACCGGAAGAGAAAGCCACGGCUAACUACGUG